Molecule: ribosomal RNA, 178 nt
Filed under: Paenibacillus alvei TS-15
Lineage: Bacteria; Bacillati; Bacillota; Bacilli; Caryophanales; Paenibacillaceae
Description: partial 23S ribosomal RNA
Rfam family: Bacterial large subunit ribosomal RNA
Source: RNAcentral
AGGUUAAGCUAGUAAGAGCACACGGAGGAUGCCUAGGCACCAGGAGCCGAUGAAGGACGUGGCGAACAACGAAAUGCCUCGGGGAGCUGUAAGCAAGCAUUGAUCCGGGGAUGUCCGAAUGGGGAAACCCGGCUGUCGUAAUAGGCAGUCACGCAUAUCUGAAUACAUAGGAUAUGCC